Molecule: transfer RNA, 92 nt
Filed under: Mogibacterium sp.
Lineage: Bacteria; Bacillati; Bacillota; Clostridia; Peptostreptococcales; Anaerovoracaceae
Also listed under: 1 other name
Description: tRNA-Ser
Rfam family: tRNA
About the family: Transfer RNA (tRNA) molecules are approximately 80 nucleotides in length. Their secondary structure includes four short double-helical elements and three loops (D, anti-codon, and T loops). Further hydrogen bonds mediate the characteristic L-shaped molecular structure. tRNAs have two regions of fundamental functional importance: the anti-codon, which is responsible for specific mRNA codon recognition, and the 3' end, to which the tRNAs corresponding amino acid is attached (by aminoacyl-tRNA synthetases). tRNAs cope with the degeneracy of the genetic code in two manners: having more than one tRNA (with a specific anti-codon) for a particular amino acid; and 'wobble' base-pairing, i.e. permitting non-standard base-pairing at the 3rd anti-codon position.
Source: RNAcentral
GGAGGAGUACCCAAGUGGCUGAAGGGUCCGGCUUCGAAUACCGGUAGGUCGGUAACACCGGCGCGUAGGUUCAAAUCCUAUCUCCUCCGCCA